RNAcentral lists this ribosomal RNA (253 nucleotides) under uncultured bacterium. RNAcentral's name for it is "partial 16S ribosomal RNA". It matches the Rfam family "Bacterial small subunit ribosomal RNA", at positions 524 to 776 of the family's 1533-position model. The record is from RNAcentral.
UACGAAGGGGGCUAGCGUUGUUCGGAAUUACUGGGCGUAAAGGGCGCGUAGGCGGCUUCGCUAGUCGGGCGUGAAAUGCCUGGGCUUAACCCGGGAAUUGCGCUCGAUACCUCGAGGCUAGAGUGUGGGAGAGGUUGGUGGAAUUCCCAGUGUAGAGGUGAAAUUCGUAGAUAUUGGGAAGAACACCGGUGGCGAAGGCGGCCAACUGGACCACAACUGACGCUGAGGCGCGAAAGCGUGGGGAGCAAACAGG